GGGGGCGUUUUGGGAUUCGACGGGGGUGUUACGUGCAUCAGUAGCGAGCCAAGGGGCCGCGACCUUGUCUAACGCGGAGCCAAAUGUAAACGGCAAAAAACAAGAAUCUCUCGCACUGGCUGCUUAAGCUGUGCGGCUCCAUCCCGCCAUCGCCCACGUGGCGGACAUGGGGCUCAACCCUUGUGGGCUAGCCUUCCAGCCUGUUCCCGGCUGGUAGGCGAACAGAAGGGAACUCGUCUGGCGAAAGGCCUGUCACUGGGCAAUUCGCUGGAUUAAAUCGCAAUACAGUGACUGCGCUCGGAGAAGCUGGUGUGAACGUUGCCUCCGGACAGGGGUUCGACUCCCCUCGCCUCCACCA
This 358-nucleotide transfer-messenger RNA is filed under the name Bacilli. RNAcentral's name for it is "Bacillus_BB thermozeamaize Standard tmRNA". It matches the Rfam family "transfer-messenger RNA". Rfam says of the family: Bacterial tmRNA, also known as 10Sa RNA or SsrA, is named for its dual tRNA and mRNA-like properties. RNAcentral also lists the same sequence under 1 other name. Lineage: Bacteria; Bacillati; Bacillota. The record is from RNAcentral.